RNAcentral lists this ribosomal RNA (253 nucleotides) under uncultured bacterium. Its description in RNAcentral is "partial 16S ribosomal RNA". It matches the Rfam family "Bacterial small subunit ribosomal RNA", at positions 524 to 776 of the family's 1533-position model. The record is from RNAcentral.
UACGUAGGGUGCAAGCGUUAAUCGGAAUUACUGGGCGUAAAGCGUGCGCAGGCGGUUUCGUAAGUCUGUCGUGAAAUCCCCGGGCUUAACCUGGGAAUGGCAUUGGUGACCGCACGGCUAGAGUGUGUCAGAGGGGGGUAGAAUUCCACGUGUAGCAGUGAAAUGCGUAGAGAUGUGGAGGAAUACCGAUGGCGAAGGCAGCCCCCUGGGAUAACACUGACGCUCAUGCACGAAAGCGUGGGGAGCAAACAGG